AUACACGCUGGCGGCGUGCAUGAGACAUGCAAGUCGAACGAAGGAUCGGGCUUGCUCGAUCCUUAGUGGCGGACGGCUGAGUAACGCGUAGGUGACCUACCCCGAAGUGGGGAAUAACUGCCCGAAAGGGUGGCUAAUACCGCAUGUGGUCGCACGUUCAUUCGUGCGAGUAAAGCCGCAAGGCGCUUCGGGAGGGGCCUGCGUCCGAUUAGCUCGUUGGUGGGGUAAUGGCUUACCAAGGCGACGAUCGGUAGGUGGUCUGAGAGGACGAUCACCCAGACUGGGACUGAGACACGGCCCAGACUCCUACGGGAGGCAGCAGUCGGGAAUUUUGCUCAAUGGGGGAAACCCUGAAGCAGCAACGCCGCGUGAGGGAUGAAGGCCUUCGGGUUGUAAACCUCUUUUGUCAGGGACGAUGAUGACGGUACCUGGCGAAUAAGCCACGGCUAACUACGUG
RNAcentral lists this ribosomal RNA (457 nucleotides) under uncultured bacterium. RNAcentral describes it as "partial 16S ribosomal RNA". It matches the Rfam family "Bacterial small subunit ribosomal RNA", at positions 33 to 507 of the family's 1533-position model. The record is from RNAcentral.